UACGUAGGGGGCAAGCGUUGUCCGGAAUUAUUGGGCGUAAAGCGCGCGCAGGCGGUUGUUUAAGUCUUAUGUUUAAACCCAGGGCUCAACCUUGGGGCGCAUGGGAAACUGGGCAGCUUGAGUGUAGGAGAGGAAAGUGGAAUUCCACGUGUAGCGGUGAAAUGCGUAGAGAUGUGGAGGAACACCAGUGGCGAAGGCGACUUUCUGGCCUAUAACUGACGCUGAGGCGCGAAAGCGUGGGGAGCAAACAGG
Molecule: ribosomal RNA, 252 nt
Filed under: uncultured bacterium
Lineage: Bacteria
Description: partial 16S ribosomal RNA
Rfam family: Bacterial small subunit ribosomal RNA
Source: RNAcentral